GGACUACUCGGGUUUCUAAUCCUGUUUGCUCCCCUAGCUUUCGCAGCUCAGCGUCAGUGAUGGCCCAGAAACCUGCUUUCGCCAUAGGUAUUCCUCCCGAUAUCUACGCAUUUCACCGCUACACCGGGAAUUCCAGUUUCCUCUACCACACUCGAGCCUGGUAGUUUCCCUUGACCUCUCCCAGUUAAGCCGGGAGCUUUCACAAGAGACUUACCAAACCGCCUACCUGCGCUUUACGCCUAGUGAUUCCGAGUAUCGCUUGCCACCUACGUAUUACCGCGGCUGCUGGCAC
RNAcentral lists this ribosomal RNA (292 nucleotides) under uncultured bacterium. Its description in RNAcentral is "partial 16S ribosomal RNA". The record is from RNAcentral.